RNAcentral lists this long non-coding RNA (943 nucleotides) under Anas platyrhynchos platyrhynchos (common mallard). Its description in RNAcentral is "lncRNA (ENSAPLG00000029804.1)". Lineage: Eukaryota; Metazoa; Chordata; Aves; Anseriformes; Anatidae. The record is from RNAcentral.
CUACUAACGACUCAAAAGAUUUUGUUCCUUAUUUAUGCUUACUAAAAAGCAAUUCUUUCAAUUCUUUAGCUUGUAUGCUGUUUCUUUGUGUUAAUUCAUCAGUCAUUUUUUCCUUUAAGCUGAGCUGGAGUAAUUCAGCUGUGCUUUGUGGAAUUGGGCUUUAUAUAACGGAUAGCUGAGGCUCAUUAAACAGGAUCCUGGAUUGUAUUCUAUCUACCUGCAAACCCAACAUGAUGAUAGCUGUUGCUUUGUUCCCCAUCCCACCUCCCCACGCCCCUGCAAUAAUACUGUGAGGCAUUCUGAAAGGAGCAUUAAUCUUGCCUGGAAGGGCCGACCUGCUGGCAGCCGAUUCAUCAGCAACACUCCCUGGAAGCUGCUGGCCCACACUUUUCGUCAGUGGUGGGUGGCAAGAUUCAGAAAUGUUAAGAGAAGAAUACCUACAGUCUUCAAAUCUGAGCUCCUCUGUAUGCGGACCAUGGGCAGGUAACCUAUUCUAUCUUCAUUUGCAUUGAGUCAGAGAAAUUCCAGUGUUCCAACCAGCUUCUCCUGUGGACCAUUCACAGAUCUUUCAUUUUCUCAGCCAAACUUAAACAUUCCUUCUGUAGAAAUGUUUGGUCCAGUCUGUACAUAUGCAUAUUCAGCUUCACUUCUUUCAGUAGCUGUUUUUUUUUUUUUUUUUGAGGAAAGGUAACUGCCAGAAGAACAAAGGAAAUUUUGAAGGGUAUAUUAUAUGAAGAAUAUUAUUAACAGUACACAGCAGAAAUAUAAUUUAAAUACUUUCUCUGCUCAUGACAACGGAUUGCAUAUUAUGUAUUAUUACCAUUUACCUACUAUAACUGCAAUCCUCAUUUGUUCACAAUGAUGGUAUAUUUAUGGUCAUGCAAUAGCUUGUUUAGGCCAAAUAUAGGUCAUUACAUUUCUGUGUUUCUGUGAAGUACUCAAC